This 253-nucleotide ribosomal RNA is filed under the name uncultured bacterium. Its description in RNAcentral is "partial 16S ribosomal RNA". It matches the Rfam family "Bacterial small subunit ribosomal RNA", at positions 524 to 776 of the family's 1533-position model. The record is from RNAcentral.
UACGAAGGGUGCAAGCGUUCCUCGGACUUACUGGGCGUAAAGGGUGCGUAGGUGGUUUGUUAAGUCUGCUGUGAAAUCCCCGGGCUCAACCUGGGAAUGGCAGUGGAUACUGGCAAGCUAGAGUGCGGUAGAGGGUAGUGGAAUUCCCGGUGUAGCAGUGAAAUGCGUAGAGAUCGGGAGGAACACCAGUGGCGAAGGCGGCUACCUGGACCAGCACUGACACUGAAGCACGAAAGCGUGGGGAGCAAACAGG